CAGCCGCCACGGGAAUACGUAGGGUGCAAGCGUUAAUCGGAAUUACUGGGCGUAAAGCGUGCGCAGGCGGUUUUGUAAGACAGAGGUGAAAUCCCCGGGCUCAACCUGGGAACUGCCUUUGUGACUGCAAGGCUAGAGUACGGCAGAGGGGGAUGGAAUUCCGCGUGUAGCAGUGAAAUGCGUAGAUAUGCGGAGGAACACCGAUGGCGAAGGCAAUCCCCUGGGCCUGUACUGACGCUCAUGCACGAAAGCGUGGGGAGCAAACAGGAUUAGAUACCCCUGUAGUCCCUGUCUCUUAUAC
This 301-nucleotide ribosomal RNA is filed under the name uncultured bacterium. Its description in RNAcentral is "partial 16S ribosomal RNA". It matches the Rfam family "Bacterial small subunit ribosomal RNA", at positions 509 to 807 of the family's 1533-position model. The record is from RNAcentral.